RNAcentral lists this ribosomal RNA (253 nucleotides) under uncultured bacterium. RNAcentral describes it as "partial 16S ribosomal RNA". It matches the Rfam family "Bacterial small subunit ribosomal RNA", at positions 524 to 776 of the family's 1533-position model. The record is from RNAcentral.
UACGUAGGGUGCAAGCGUUGUCCGGAAUUAUUGGGCGUAAAGAGCUCGUAGGCGGUCUGUUGCGUCGGCUGUGAAAACCCGGGGCUCAACUCCGGGCCUUCAGCCGAUACGGGCAGACUAGAGUUCGGCAGGGGAGACUGGAAUUCCUGGUGUAGCGGUGAAAUGCGCAGAUAUCGGGAGGAACACCAGUGGCGAAGGCGACUUCCUGGCCUGUUCUUGACGCUGAGGCGCGAAAGCUAGGGUAGCAAACGGG